GUGGGGAAUAUUGCACAAUGGGCGAAAGCCUGAUGCAGCGACGCCGCGUGAGCGAAGAAGUAUUUCGGUAUGUAAAGCUCUAUCAGCAGGGAAGAUAAUGACGGUACCUGACUAAGAAGCACCGGCUAAAUACGUGCCAGCAGCCGCGGUAAUACGUAUGGUGCAAGCGUUAUCCGGAUUUACUGGGUGUAAAGGGAGCGUAGGCGGUUUUGCAAGUCUGAUGUGAAAGCCCGGGGCUCAACUCCGGUAUUGCAUUGGAAACUGCGGAACUAGAGUGUCGGAGGGGUAAGUGGAAUUCCUAGUGUAGCGGUGAAAUGCGUAGAUAUUAGGAGGAACACCAGUGGCGAAGGCGGCUUACUGGACGAUUACUGACGCUGAGGCUCGAAAGCGUGGGGAGCAAACAGG
RNAcentral lists this ribosomal RNA (405 nucleotides) under uncultured rumen bacterium. RNAcentral's name for it is "bacterial SSU rRNA". It matches the Rfam family "Bacterial small subunit ribosomal RNA", at positions 354 to 776 of the family's 1533-position model. The record is from RNAcentral.